UACGUAGGGUGCGAGCGUUAAUCGGAAUUACUGGGCGUAAAGCGUGCGCAGGCGGUUCUGAAAGUCAGCUGUGAAAGCCCCGGGCUUAACCUGGGAAUUGCGGUUGAAACUACAGGGCUAGAAUCUGGCAGAGGGGGGUGGAAUUCCACGUGUAGCAGUGAAAUGCGUAGAGAUCCGGAAGAACACCGGUGGCGAAGGCGGCCUGCUGGGCGGCGACUGACGCUGAGGCGCGACAGCGUGGGGAGCAAACAGG
Molecule: ribosomal RNA, 253 nt
Filed under: uncultured bacterium
Lineage: Bacteria
Description: partial 16S ribosomal RNA
Rfam family: Bacterial small subunit ribosomal RNA
Source: RNAcentral